AAUGAACGCUGGCGGUAGGCUUAACACAUGCAAGUCGAACGGCAGCACAGUAAUAGCUUGCUCUUACGGGUGGCGAGUGGCGGACGGGUGAGGAAUACAUCGGAAUCUACUUUUUCGUGGGGGAUAACGUAGGGAAACUUACGCUAAUACCGCAUACCACCUACGGGUGAAAGCAGGGGAUCUUCGGACCUUGCGCGAUUGAAUGAGCCGAUGUCGGAUUAGUUAGUUGGCGGGGUAAAGGCCCACCAAGGCGACGAUCCGUAGCUGGUCAGAGAGGAUGGUCAGCCACACUGGAACUGAGACGCGGUCCAGACUACUACGGGAGGGAGCAGAGGGGAAUAGUAGAUAGGGGGCGGGAGCCUGGUCCAGCCAUACCGAGUGGGUGGAGAAGGCCCUGGGGUUGUAAAGCCCUUUUGUUGGGAAAGAAAAGCAGCAGGUUAAUACCCCGCUGUUCUGACGGUACCGAAAGAAUAAGCACCGGCUAACUUCGUG
Molecule: ribosomal RNA, 492 nt
Filed under: uncultured bacterium
Lineage: Bacteria
Description: partial 16S ribosomal RNA
Rfam family: Bacterial small subunit ribosomal RNA
Source: RNAcentral